RNAcentral lists this ribosomal RNA (253 nucleotides) under uncultured bacterium. Its description in RNAcentral is "partial 16S ribosomal RNA". It matches the Rfam family "Bacterial small subunit ribosomal RNA", at positions 524 to 776 of the family's 1533-position model. The record is from RNAcentral.
GACGAACCGUGCAAACGUUGUUCGGAAUCACUGGGCUUAAAGGGCGCGUAGGCGGGUGGAUAAGUCAGGGGUGAAAGCCCACGGCUCAACCGUGGAAGUGCCUUUGAUACUGUUCAUCUCGAGGGAGGUAGGGGCGUGCGGAACUUCCGGUGGAGCGGUGAAAUGCGUAGAUAUCGGAAGGAACACCGGUGGCGAAAGCGGCGCGCUGGACCUCUUCUGACGCUGAGGCGCGAAAGCCAGGGGAGCAAACGGG